Molecule: ribosomal RNA, 253 nt
Filed under: uncultured bacterium
Lineage: Bacteria
Description: partial 16S ribosomal RNA
Rfam family: Bacterial small subunit ribosomal RNA
Source: RNAcentral
UACGUAGGGCGCGAGCGUUGUCCGGAAUUAUUGGGCGUAAAGAGCUCGUAGGCGGCCUGUCGCGUCGGUUGUGAAAGCCCGGGGCUCAACCCCGGGUCUGCAGUCGAUACGGGCAGGCUAGAGUUCGGUAGGGGAGAUCGGAAUUCCUGGUGUAGCGGUGAAAUGCGCAGAUAUCAGGAGGAACACCGGUGGCGAAGGCGGUUCUCUGGGCAUGAUCUGACGCUGAGGAGCGAAAGUGUGGGGAGCGAACAGG